CUCCAGCUGACGAGUCCCAAAUAGGACGAAACGCGCGUCCUGAAU
This is a non-coding RNA of Schistosoma curassoni, 45 nucleotides long. The record is from Rfam. NCBI's taxonomy places the organism in Eukaryota, Metazoa, Platyhelminthes, Trematoda, Strigeidida, Schistosomatidae.